RNAcentral lists this long non-coding RNA (401 nucleotides) under Lotus japonicus. RNAcentral's name for it is "long non-coding RNA (LJAP_LNC000908)". The record is from RNAcentral. Lineage: Eukaryota; Viridiplantae; Streptophyta; Magnoliopsida; Fabales; Fabaceae.
UUAAAUUUGACAUAAGAUAAGUUAGUAUAUGGGUAUUUUGAAAUGAGUAGGCAGGAAAAUAGAAUGACAAGAAUAAAAUACUUACAAUAAUAGAGCUUUUAUUGAGAACUUCAAAACUUGGAUUACAAUGCGAAAGAGAUAUUACACAGAUUGAAAGAGAGAAGGAGAUGGGUUUUUUCCGGAAGCCUUUCCCGAAUGGGUAAGCUUCCUUUUAUACAUACUUUGAACCACUACUGUAUCUUGGGUUUUGAUAACUCUGGUUACUUUUUGAAAUAACUCGAGUUUUCUUUUUGAAAAUUAUUGAUGACUAUUUUGGCUUCUUCUUCUUUUGGGUUGAUGGCUGAUAGAACUUGUCUGCCACGCCUAUCACUUUUGUCAUUUUGCCAUGAUUUGCUUUGAUC